RNAcentral lists this unclassified non-coding RNA (409 nucleotides) under uncultured fungus. RNAcentral's name for it is "partial contains 5.8S ribosomal RNA and internal transcribed spacer 2". The stretch from base 1 to 133 matches the Rfam family "5.8S ribosomal RNA", at positions 22 to 154 of the family's 154-position model. The record is from RNAcentral. Lineage: Eukaryota; Fungi.
UGGCUCUCGCAUCGAUGAAGAACGCAGCGAAUUGCGAUAAGUAAUGUGAAUUGCAGAAUUCAGUGAAUCAUCGAAUCUUUGAACGCACCUUGCACUCUCUGGUAUUCCGGAGAGUACGCCUGUUCGAGUGUCGUGAAACUCUCAAGCUGGAUGGGCUUUUAUUAGUCUGUCUUUAGUUUGGAUGUGGACUCUGCUGUGUGACAACGGCUGGUCUUAAAGGCAUUAGCUGAAUCUUGAUCGUCUCUGGUUCUUACUCGGCGUGAUAAUUAUCUGACCGCUGGGGACAUCCUUUUAGGGGAUGGCCAGACUCUUUCUCGAAUCGCUUCUAAUCCGACGGAUAAGUCUCUCUGGGACUUUUCCGCUCACUAUUUCAACCUUUGACCUCGAAUCAGGUGGGACUACCCGCUGA